RNAcentral lists this ribosomal RNA (253 nucleotides) under uncultured bacterium. Its description in RNAcentral is "partial 16S ribosomal RNA". It matches the Rfam family "Bacterial small subunit ribosomal RNA", at positions 524 to 776 of the family's 1533-position model. The record is from RNAcentral.
GACGGAGGGGGCUAGCGUUGUUCGGAAUGACUGGGCGUAAAGGGCGCGUAGGCGGUUUUUUAAGUGAGGCGUGAAAGCCCUGGGCUUAACCCAGGAGGUGCGUUUCAUACCGAAAAGCUUGAGUGCGAGAGAGGAAAGUGGAAUUCCUAGUGUAGAGGUGAAAUUCGUAGAUAUUAGGAAGAACACCAGUGGCGAAGGCGACUUUCUGGCUCGCAACUGACGCUGAGGCGCGAAAGCGUGGGGAGCAAACAGG